This 467-nucleotide ribosomal RNA is filed under the name uncultured bacterium. RNAcentral's name for it is "partial 16S ribosomal RNA". It matches the Rfam family "Bacterial small subunit ribosomal RNA", at positions 28 to 507 of the family's 1533-position model. The record is from RNAcentral.
GACGAACGCUGGCGGCGUGCUUAACACAUGCAAGUCGAACGGAAAGGCCUCUUUCGGGGGGUACUCGAGUGGCGAACGGGUGAGUAACACGUGAGUAACCUGCCCUUUACUUUGGGAUAACUUCAGGAAACUGGGGCUAAUACCGGAUAGGAGCUCCUGCUCCGUGGUGGGGGUUGGAAAGUUUCGGCGGUUGGGGGUGGACUCGCGGCUUAUCAGCUUGUUGGUGGGGUAGUGGGUUACCAAGGCCUUGUCGGGUAGCCGGCCUGUGAGGGGGACCGGCCACAUUGGGACUGGGAAACGGCCCAGACUCCUACGGGAGGCAGCAGGGGGGAAUAUUGCACAAUGGGUGGAAGCCUGAUUCAGCAACGCCGUGUGCGGGAUGACGGGCUUCGGGUUGUAAACCGCUUUCGCUCAUGACGAAGCUUUGUGUGACGGUAGUGGGUAAAGAAGCACCGGCUAACUACGUG